This 258-nucleotide ribosomal RNA is filed under the name uncultured bacterium. RNAcentral describes it as "partial 16S ribosomal RNA". It matches the Rfam family "Bacterial small subunit ribosomal RNA", at positions 96 to 354 of the family's 1533-position model. The record is from RNAcentral.
UGGCGGACGGGUGAGUAACGCGUGGGUAACCUACCUCAUACAGGGGGAUAACAGUUGGAAACGACCGCUAAUACCGCAUAACCCGCUAGUAUCGCAUGAUACAGACGGAAAAGAUUUAUCGGUAUGAGAUGGACCCGCGUCUGAUUAGCCAGUUGGCAGGGUAACGGCCUACCAAAGCAACGAUCAGUAGCCGGCCUGAGAGGGUGAACGGCCACAUUGGGACUGGGACACGGCCCAAACUCCUACGGAAGGCAGCAG